GAUGAACGCUGGCGGCGUGCCUAAUACAUGCAAGUCGAGCGAACAGACGAGGAGCUUGCUCCUCUGACGUUAGCGGCGAACGGGUGAGUAACACGUGAGUAACCUGCCCUUGACUUUGGGAUAACUUCAGGAAACUGGGGCUAAUACCGGAUAGGAUCUCCUGCUGCAUGGUGGGGGUUGGAAAGUCUCGGCGGUUGGGGAUGGACUCGCGGCUUAUCAGCUUGUUGGUGGGGUAGUGGCUUACCAAGGCUUUGACGGGUAGCCGGCCUGAGAGGGUGACCGGCCACAUUGGGACUGAGAUACGGCCCAGACUCCUACGGGAGGCAGCAGUGGGGAAUAUUGCACAAUGGGCGGAAGCCUGAUGCAGCAACGCCGCGUGCGGGAUGACGGCCUUCGGGUUGUAAACCGCUUUCGCCUGUGACGAAGCGUGAGUGACGGUAAUGGGUAAAGAAGCACCGGCUAACUACGUG
This 470-nucleotide ribosomal RNA is filed under the name uncultured bacterium. Its description in RNAcentral is "partial 16S ribosomal RNA". It matches the Rfam family "Bacterial small subunit ribosomal RNA", at positions 28 to 507 of the family's 1533-position model. The record is from RNAcentral.